Molecule: long non-coding RNA, 2773 nt
Organism: Panthera uncia (snow leopard)
Lineage: Eukaryota; Metazoa; Chordata; Mammalia; Carnivora; Felidae
Exons: 3
Source: RefSeq, a predicted model, not a curated record
CCUCAGUUUGUUCUGUGUAUUUAAACGUCUCUUACGGUUUGCCUCCCUCUCUGUAACCGGUUCUUUUUUCCUUCCCUUUCCCCAUGGUCUCCUGUUAAGUUUCCCAACUGCCACAUGUGGGUGAAAACACAUGACGUCUGUCUUUCUGUGACUGCCUUAUUUCAGCAAAGUGCUGAUUUAAAUCAUGAAUGUCAUCUGACGACGGUUUCCUGUUUGCCCUGUGUGUCGUGUGUUUCUUGGAGAGUCUGUAACCCAACUACGACCCUGGCGGCAAGGUUGCUCUCCAUCGAGGUGAUCUGCAACGGAAAGGACCUGGGGUAGGAGCGGCUGAUCUGGGGGAGCGCGAAAGGCUUGUCUCCCCGGGGGAAGGGCACCUGCUCACCCUCACUGCCAGGGAGCGCGUGCCCCCCAGCUUCUCCUCACCAAACCGCAACCCAUGCGAUCACUCUAAGUCUUGGGAUCACGUCGCCAAGUUUACAUCUCUAGCCCGGACUUCUCCCGUGAGUCGCCAUUUCCGCCUCUCCACGUGGCCGGACGGUGGCCGUCUCCAGCUCAGCAGGUGCAAGAGGGAGCCUUCGCGGCUUCCCCCAAUCCCGCUCCACACGCAGUCCUCGCCUACCCCAACGGUAGCAACUUGAACCUCGCUCAGACCUUCGAGGUGUCCCUGAAGGCUCUCUUUCUCUCUCACUGCACACCCACUGGGCUCCUCCUUCGCAGUCUCCAAGAUGGACACCGUCCCCACCUGCACUGCCGGCCCCUGGGUCCACCCCCUGGAGUGACCGUGGAUGCCUUCUCGCAGGUGGCCCUGCACCUGGCUUGGCCCCAUGCAAUCUCUUCUUGGCUCGUCUUCAACAGUUACCAAUACCAGUCUCUUCAAAUGACGAUCGGCUUUGCUUCUAAAUCCUUUAAUGCACCCAAGACAAACGCACGAGUAGCUUUGCCUCCAGCUACCAAACCAGUGGUGGCCCGGGGUGACCGACCUACCUACCCAAGCUUUGCAAUAUGGUGUCACCGAGGCACGCUCAGUGUAUUCAUAAUAAGGUAACGGUUUGUCUUUCAUCACAGGGUUUAACUGUUCAGUGUUUUGCCCCCACUAAUGGUCGUGGUCACUUUAAAGACAACGAAUAGCUUUCUGUCGUUUUGUUGUUUUUACCUGCGUCUGGAGUUUCAUCAUAUCUGCUUCAAUUUUAAGGUUGGAUUCAUUCAGUUCUUUUAUUUCUUCAUCCAGGUGCCGAAUUUCUUCAUCACUCUCUAUACCUACAAAGAGUCAGACCCUCUUGAGUGCAAACGGAAAUGUGAGACAAUGAGAAUACAAGUCAUUUUAUGUUUCGUUUGUGGUUUGCUAAGUGAGAAUUAGACGUUAAUUUGACAUGCUGAAUUUUUACCUUGACCCAUAUCCAAGAUUCUAAAAGAGUGGGUUCCAGAGUUACAAGAUGGGAUUUCUUUGUGAGACGAGGGAGUAGAAAAGAGCUUUUUCUACUUUUCUACAUUUCUACAUUCUGCCCUGGGGUUCCUACCCUGGAAAAGAGUCCCUUGUCCCCUGAAGGUGAGCCUCCCAUGCUCUGCGCCCCAGCAACUCCAUUCCCAGGUCCACACCCGAGACAAACGGCCGCCUGUGUGCGAUGGGAGGUGGGCAUGAGACGUACGCGGCACAUUCACAAAAGCCCAACCUGGCAACACAUGGCACGCCCACCAAAAACAACGCGAACAACGCUUACCAAUAUAAUGUUAAAAUGAACCCGUAAGCCCUGAAGCUUUCCACAAAGCAGGAAAAACCAGGUGGCCGUUUUGUGGGCACGUACUGCCUUAUUGUAAGGAAUUAAGUGCCUGAAUCAAAACGGGCCAAGCGGGCACCAAUGAAGGGAGUACUUCACGAGAUCGAUCUAACACUGGGCUCCGAGAUUCAGUAAAGAAGAAAAGCGAACCGACAGCUAAGAUCCCGGCAGUUGAGGACCUCGAUCGUUUUGAAUAUGAGUCAACCGUGUGACACGGCUCCUAAGAAAAAAUACACAAUUCCCCAGGACCACACUAAUGGUUCUGUAACAUCCAGGAUACGGGACUCAGGAUUUAUUCUGAACUGGCUGGCUGCACCUGAAGAAUUCCGAGCACCGAGCUCAACUGGUUGCUACCCUAGACAGGAUCUUCUUCAGACAACUGGGUCUGAAAUACUUGAUUUGGAUGACAGCAGGAAGCGCAGAUUCCCAAUUAAACAUGUUACGAGGGCUCUAAGCACUUGGCGUUUUUCUGAUUUCGGCAGACGAAAACUUCUAUUGCUAUAUUUCUUUGUCAAAUGGUUUUUCCUUUCUGUCUCUGUGGAAUAAAAUUCCACUUCAGAAAAUGGCAUUUUCUUACAUAGUAUCUGGGGAGGCAGACCCUAAAUCUGAUAAAAGAUGAAGACCUGGGAAGGAAACACAGGCGGUGCUUUGAGAACCCUCACUGGGGAAGGCUCUUUUAAUCUGAGCCUUUACUACUACAAACAAGGCAGGCCCAUGAAAAGCUUGGGACCCGGGUGGGAUGAGCAUCCCGGGGGACGGAGUAGAAGGCACAGAGGCCUGGGGUGGGAAGGCAAUGAAUGGGAAGGUCUGCUCCCUGGACUGUGAGAAGGCCCCCGUGAAUGAACACACGGUGAGUGACGAAAGCAGGCCACCUCACAAAGAGCUUGGGCUUAUUCUCGGGCAGUGGAAACCCGUGAAGAGUCUUAAGCAGGGGAGUUGAUGCGAUCGGGUUGGCUUUUCAAAAGCAUAGCUCAGUCCUGAGUAGAGGAUGCGGUGAA